Molecule: ribosomal RNA, 1011 nt
Filed under: uncultured Staphylococcus sp.
Lineage: Bacteria; Bacillati; Bacillota; Bacilli; Caryophanales; Staphylococcaceae
Description: bacterial SSU rRNA
Rfam family: Bacterial small subunit ribosomal RNA
Source: RNAcentral
AUACAUGCAAGUCGAGCGAACGGACGAGAAGCUUGCUUCUCUGAUGUUAGCGGCGGACGGGUGAGUAACACGUGGAUAACCUACCUAUAAGACUGGGAUAACUUCGGGAAACCGGAGCUAUACCGGAUAAUAUUUUGAACCGCAUGGUUCAAAAGUGAAAGACGGUCUUGCUGUCACUUAUAGAUGGAUCCGCGCUGCAUUAGCUAGUUGGUAAGGUAACGGCUUACCAAGGCAACGAUGCAUAGCCGACCUGAGAGGGUGAUCGGCCACACUGGAACUGAGACACGGUCCAGACUCCUACGGGAGGCAGCAGUAGGGAAUCUUCCGCAAUGGGCGAAAGCCUGACGGAGCAACGCCGCGUGAGUGAUGAAGGUCUUCGGAUCGUAAAACUCUGUUAUUAGGGAAGAACAUAUGUGUAAGUAACUGUGCACAUCUUGACGGUACCUAAUCAGAAAGCCACGGCUAACUACGUGCCAGCAGCCGCGGUAAUACGUAGGUGGCAAGCGUUAUCCGGAAUUAUUGGGCGUAAAGCGCGCGUAGGCGGUUUUUUAAGUCUGAUGUGAAAGCCCACGGCUCAACCGUGGAGGGUCAUUGGAAACUGGAAAACUUGAGUGCAGAAGAGGAAAGUGGAAUUCCAUGUGUAGCGGUGAAAUGCGCAGAGAUAUGGAGGAACACCAGUGGCGAAGGCGACUUUCUGGUCUGUAACUGACGCUGAUGUGCGAAAGCGUGGGGAUCAAACAGGAUUAGAUACCCUGGUAGUCCACGCCGUAAACGAUGAGUGCUAAGUGUUAGGGGGUUUCCGCCCCUUAGUGCUGCAGCUAACGCAUUAAGCACUCCGCCUGGGGAGUACGACCGCAAGGGUUGAAACUCAAAGGAAUUGACGGGGACCCGCACAAGCGGUGGAGCAUGUGGGUUUAAUUUCGAAGCACGCGAGAACCUUACCAAUCUUGACAUCCUUUGACACUCUAGAGAUAGAGCCUUCCUCUUCGGGGGACAAAGUGACAGUUGUUG